GCACUGCUGAGGAGUCCCACAAUAGGACGAAACAGUCGUCUAAUGC
This 46-nucleotide non-coding RNA is filed under the name Schistosoma curassoni. The record is from RNAcentral. Lineage: Eukaryota; Metazoa; Platyhelminthes; Trematoda; Strigeidida; Schistosomatidae.